Molecule: long non-coding RNA, 1282 nt
Organism: Choloepus didactylus (southern two-toed sloth)
Lineage: Eukaryota; Metazoa; Chordata; Mammalia; Pilosa; Megalonychidae
Exons: 4
Source: RefSeq, a predicted model, not a curated record
UCGCCUCACACCCCACCCCUGCAGGCACCAAUCCCAAAGUUAUUUUUGUCCUCCUCUAAUAACAAUAAGCCCAUUGUAUGUACUUCCUGACUAAUCAGCAGUGUGGGCAGGAGGAGGGAGGGGCAGGUCCAAGGACCAAGGGCUGAUCUUAGACUGAGAAUGAAGGCUGAGACGACCGGCUAAGGCAAGUGUGGGGAAGACCCCGACUCCCUGGCCUGGCCGUUGCCUCCCUACCUCCUUCGCAGCGUCUGCAAGCUCAGAUGGCCACCGGGGUCCUGCGCCAUCACAGCCAACGCCCACGUCUGGCUAGAACCGCAGAAGUACGAGGACUGGCCAGGUCCCUUCAUCGAUUCUGUCGGCAGCAAGUGUUUCCUGAGCCGGAUCCUGGGCGAGGCCCUUCACAGGCCUUGUUGCAUUUUCCCCCAUUCCCAACCCCAUGGGGUAGCUAUUCUGAGUCCACUUUCUCAGACAAGGGAGUUGAGGCUCGGAGAGAUAACGCUGCUGAACCGAAGGCAGCAGCAGAGAUGAACCAUGAACCUUCUAUCCUGUGCAAAGUGUAGGGAAUACAGCAGCAUGAGGUCCCUACCUGCUCUCGGAGAAGUUCGCAUAUCCUGGCACUCUUGGUAAACAGUCAAGUGCUGUGCACCUCCGGUCGAUGCUACUGUGAUGAAGUUCAGUGCCUUGCCAGGACAGCUCGGGGCCGAGGGAAGGCAGUGCUGCUGAGGGGUCAGCUUCCUCUCCACGUGCCGCACGCUGCCUGCCUCUCAGCCUCCCGUGGCCACAAGGGAUCACUCUUCUGAGCACAGAUGGCACUCUGCCUGGGCCUCCCGUGGCUUCUGACACCCUCUGCUGGGGAUGACAGCUGUUGGCACAGGUCGCCUAGGCACUUGAUUUCUACUGACACGAGUCUAAGAAGACGCCAUGCCUGCUCUCAAGCCCUCCCUCUAGAAGGGGAAGAGAUAAAAGUGAACAGAGCUACAUGCUCUGUGAAUCGAGAGGAGAGUCUUCAGCUCAGCUCCAAAAGGCUUCCUAAGGAGUUUACAGCCUGACCUCCGGGGACAGGCAUGCCCGGGUGCCCCCGGCCGACUAGGGGAGACCUGAGCCCCUGGCAUCACGCCUGACCCUGCCAGCCCAGCAGCUCCAGCAGCAGCCCAGCCUUUUAAGCACAGAGCCAGGGCAGACAGGCUCAUUAUGGUCUGGUGAGCAUCCCUGCACCAGGGGCAGCCCAUGAGCUUCCCAGGAAUGCUGAAGCAGAUGCGGAAAUCACAACCUUGGGGGCUGU